UACGGGGGGAGCAAGCGUUGUUCGGAUUUACUGGGCGUAAAGGGCGCGUAGGCGGCGCCGCAAGUCACUUGUGAAAUCUCCGGGCUCAACUCGGAACGACCAAGUGAUACUGCGGUGCUAGAGUGCGGAAGGGGCAACUGGAAUUCUUGGUGUAGCGGUGAAAUGCGUAGAUAUCAAGAGGAACACCUGCGGCGAAGGCGGGUUGCUGGGCCGACACUGACGCUGAGGCGCGAAAGCUAGGGGAGCGAACGGG
RNAcentral lists this ribosomal RNA (253 nucleotides) under uncultured bacterium. RNAcentral's name for it is "partial 16S ribosomal RNA". It matches the Rfam family "Bacterial small subunit ribosomal RNA", at positions 524 to 776 of the family's 1533-position model. The record is from RNAcentral.